RNAcentral lists this ribosomal RNA (468 nucleotides) under uncultured bacterium. RNAcentral describes it as "partial 16S ribosomal RNA". It matches the Rfam family "Bacterial small subunit ribosomal RNA", at positions 28 to 507 of the family's 1533-position model. The record is from RNAcentral.
GACGAACGCUGGCGGCGUGCUUAACACAUGCAAGUCGAACGGCAAGGCGCUGCCUUUGUGGGGUGCUCGAGUGGCGAACGGGUGAGUAACACGUGAGUAACCUGCCCUUGGCUUUGGGAUAACUUCCGGAAACUGGGGUUAUUACCGGUUAGGAGCUCCUGCUGCAUGGUGGGGGUUGGAAAGUUUCGGCGGUUGGGGAUGGACUCGCGGGUUAUCAGCUUGUUGGUGGGGUAGUGGCUUACCAAGGAUUUGCCGGGUAGCCGGCCUGAGAGGGGGACCGGGCACAAGAGGACUGAGGGACGGCGCAGACUGCAACGGGAGGCAGCAGGGGGGAAUAUUACACAGUGAGCGGGAGCCUGAUACAGCGGCGUCGGGGGCGGGAAGACGGCCUGCGGGGUGUGAACCGCUUGCGCCUGAGACGAAGCGGGAAUGACGGUAAUGGAUAAAUAAGCACCGGCUAACUACGUG